GUUUUCCAGUCCAGGCACAGAUACAUGCACUCCCACACAUCUGACUCUCAUUCCAGGCUGUAGUGCUUUAUCUGAGGCCUGCAGCUCUGAGGAUGUCCGACCAGCUCAGCGGGACUGUGAUUCAGCCCCAAAGCAUCUGACACUUGUUGAGGUAGCGUCAUCACCCGCAGUUGGCGCUGCGGGGACCUCAGGGGUUUCAGCUCUCUUUUCAGUUGUGAAGGGAGCUCAGCAUUGUUUCAGCUACCGACAUUGUUUCACAUUUUCACCUUUGUCUUCUCAAAGGAAAAGGCUACAGACUGCGCGAAGGCUGAGAUGCAGCUCUCCAGACCAUGCUUUAUAUCCUGAGAGGAAAGGCUGUGCGGGUUUUGCAAACCUGUCUCUGUCCUGCCAAGUUCAAACUGUCUUUGCAGUAGCGCAAGCAGAGUGAUGGGAAAGCAGAGAGCAUCAGAAACUGCCACAGGCUUUAGAAACCACAGUGCAGGAAAACAAAACUGUAGUGCAUUCUUCCCAGGGUAACAUCAGUAACUUUAUUAAGGGCUUCCCACAUAAUGGCGUUUAUUUCUCUCUCCAGCACACCCUAUAACCCACGUUGGGAAAAACAAGUUGCUAACCCCAAGUCCAUGCUGAGGAGGCAAUGGGCUGCACUAUCUGUGAGAUGUACCUACUGCUGCUUCCACUCUAAGGCAAACGUAGCUGAAACCCCACAGAACCAGCUCCAGAAGAAUCUGCACUGGUGUGGUUUGUGCAGGUUUUCAAAUCAGAAGGAGUCAGCAUGAGGUACAGUCUCCCUGUAAACUGGAUCUCAUCUGCCCUCCUCUGAAUUCACUUCUUGUGACUCAGAUCAGGUGAGUGUGAGUGUGACAGCUACUGCUGGGAUCCCUAAUUUCUGUUUUAAAUGACACCCUGCCAUAGACUGCAUGUUAAAUGCAUGAUCACAGUUGGAUUAAGGAUUUUUGCCUCUGAAAUAUAUUGGGGGAAAAAAAAAAAAUAUUAUCUGUUUGGGGCCAUCCCCAAUGUCUUUACAAUUUUGUUUGAUACAUACCAGGCCUUAGGAUUUACCCCAUAAUUACAGCAUUAAAUCAAUAUUUUUUAGUGAA
Pezoporus flaviventris is the source of this 1097-nucleotide long non-coding RNA. RefSeq lists it as uncharacterized. The transcript has 2 exons. The record is from RefSeq and is a predicted model, not a curated record. Lineage: Eukaryota; Metazoa; Chordata; Aves; Psittaciformes; Psittacidae.